RNAcentral lists this ribosomal RNA (1508 nucleotides) under metagenome. Its description in RNAcentral is "bacterial SSU rRNA". It matches the Rfam family "Bacterial small subunit ribosomal RNA". The record is from RNAcentral.
AGAGUUUGAUCCUGGCUCAGGACGAACGCUGGCGGCGUGCCUAAUACAUGCAAGUCGAGCGGACAGAUGGGAGCUUGCUCCCUGAUGUUAGCGGCGGACGGGUGAGUAACACGUGGGUAACCUGCCUGUAAGACUGGGAUAACUCCGGGAAACCGGGGCUAAUACCGGAUGGUUGUUUGAACAGCAUGGUGCAAACAUAAAAGGUGGCUUCGGCUACCACUUACAGAUGGACCCGCGGCGCAUUAGCUAGUUGGUGAGGUAACGGCUCACCAAGGCGACGAUGCGUAGCCGACCUGAGAGGGUGAUCGGCCACACUGGGACUGAGACACGGCCCAGACUCCUACGGGAGGCAGCAGUAGGGAAUCUUCCGCAAUGGACGAAAGUCUGACGGAGCAACGCCGCGUGAGUGAUGAAGGUUUUCGGAUCGUAAAGCUCUGUUGUUAGGGAAGAACAAGUACCGUUCGAAUAGGGCGGUACCUUGACGGUACCUAACCAGAAAGCCACGGCUAACUACGUGCCAGCAGCCGCGGUAAUACGUAGGUGGCAAGCGUUGUCCGGAAUUAUUGGGCGUAAAGGGCUCGCAGGCGGUUUCUUAAGUCUGAUGUGAAAGCCCCCGGCUCAACCGGGGAGGGUCAUUGGAAACUGGGGAACUUGAGUGCAGAAGAGGAGAGUGGAAUUCCACGUGUAGCGGUGAAAUGCGUAGAGAUGUGGAGGAACACCAGUGGCGAAGGCGACUCUCUGGUCUGUAACUGACGCUGAGGAGCGAAAGCGUGGGGAGCGAACAGGAUUAGAUACCCUGGUAGUCCACGCCGUAAACGAUGAGUGCUAAGUGUUAGGGGGUUUCCGCCCCUUAGUGCUGCAGCUAACGCAUUAAGCACUCCGCCUGGGGAGUACGGUCGCAAGACUGAAACUCAAAGGAAUUGACGGGGGCCCGCACAAGCGGUGGAGCAUGUGGCUUAAUUCGAAGCAACGCGAAGAACCUUACCAGGUCUUGACAUCCUCUGACAAUCCUAGAGAUAGGACGUCCCCUUCGGGGGCAGAGUGACAGGUGGUGCAUGGUUGUCGUCAGCUCGUGUCGUGAGAUGUUGGGUUAAGUCCCGCAACGAGCGCAACCCUUGAUCUUAGUUGCCAGCAUUCAGUUGGGCACUCUAAGGUGACUGCCGGUGACAAACCGGAGGAAGGUGGGGAUGACGUCAAAUCAUCAUGCCCCUUAUGACCUGGGCUACACACGUGCUACAAUGGACAGAACAAAGGGCAGCGAAACCGCGAGGUUAAGCCAAUCCCACAAAUCUGUUCUCAGUUCGGAUCGCAGUCUGCAACUCGACUGCGUGAAGCUGGAAUCGCUAGUAAUCGCGGAUCAGCAUGCCGCGGUGAAUACGUUCCCGGGCCUUGUACACACCGCCCGUCACACCACGAGAGUUUGUAACACCCGAAGUCGGUGAGGUAACCUUUUAGGAGCCAGCCGCCGAAGGUGGGACAGAUGAUUGGGGUGAAGUCGUAACAAGGUA